Non-coding RNA from Gasterosteus aculeatus aculeatus (three-spined stickleback), 1197 nucleotides. Lineage: Eukaryota; Metazoa; Chordata; Actinopteri; Perciformes; Gasterosteidae. The record is from RefSeq and is a predicted model, not a curated record.
CUAUAAGGACGCGCGGAUGGCCUCCCGAUUCAUGGAGGGAGAUCUCCACAAACGUCGGUUUGCCGGUCGAGAAGUGCACAAAGUUGUAGAAGAAAAUACUGGACAAAUGUGCCCGCGUGGCACCCGUGAAUUCUUUUAAGUAAAAUCCCAAAACCAAAACCCAUUCAUUCUCUAUGUUUGUGCUAAACCACUACGGAUGUAAUAUGUCUUUGGCCACCGGUGGCGCUGUUUGACGGACCGAGCGUUUACCCGCAUGUAAAGCGUUUCUCCGGACAUUCUCCGUCAGUCUACCCGGGAAAGAGCACCGAAGCGACGGUGCACCUUCGUCGGACCUCGCGCUGUGAGGAAGUCACUAAACAAAACCCCACGUCCGCCGUCGCUGCCCCUGCUGCCCUCACCAACUGGUGCUCGCACUGGACCGGUGAAGACAGGAGGCAGAGUGUUUGUUUUGGACCACAAACGAUGGCCGCCCCCCAUGAAGGCAGUUAUCGACCAGCUGCCCAACAAACACCAUGCUGACUCCAGCCUCUAUUGAGAAGAUUGUACUCAACAUCAUGGAAAAGCAGCAGCAACAUCAACAACAACAACAACAACAACCGGGGCAAAAGAAGGGACACACGAAAAGGUGUCUUUCCUGUGGCCAGCCAAAGUCUAGUUGUGCGCAGCUUCAUUGGACGACAUCUGGGAAGAAGAAGAAGGCGCUCCACACGCCUGCUGAGGGAACAUCUCUGCUGCGGAUGUGGGGGUCGACGUCUUUUCUCACCAGCAUCUAUCAUGCUAAAGUCCCUUUUUCCUCCUUUCCUUCGAUUGAUAUGGUUAUUUUAAGCCAGGGAGGCCAAUGAUCGAUCGCAAAGCAGUGCCAGUAGAUCGCCGACCAUCAAUCCUUGCUCACUAAAGGACGCAUUUAAUUUCAUUCAUAAGAAAGAUAAUGAACAAGAAUGUAUGGAAUGGCUCAAUGUUUUCUUCAUAUUAUUUGCUUUUGUUGAGGGGAUUGCCGUGACACGGGUGGCCCGGCUCUUCCUAAAUCUUUAUUAUUUGGCAACUAACAUUCAUACAAUAUCAUAAUGGGUUCAUGCCCCUGAGACGGAAUGGUGCAUCUUGGAGGAUCAAUCAUGCUGUUCAAGCUUUCUUCCUGCAUUGGUUUACGCACCCUUCACUUUGGGACUGAUCUCUAAACUUUACAACCAGAUCCUAAUU